Molecule: non-coding RNA, 30 nt
Filed under: Mus musculus (house mouse)
Lineage: Eukaryota; Metazoa; Chordata; Mammalia; Rodentia; Muridae
Source: RNAcentral
UNGCUACAUAGAAUGUUUGAGGUCAGCCUU